RNAcentral lists this ribosomal RNA (468 nucleotides) under uncultured bacterium. Its description in RNAcentral is "partial 16S ribosomal RNA". It matches the Rfam family "Bacterial small subunit ribosomal RNA", at positions 28 to 507 of the family's 1533-position model. The record is from RNAcentral.
GACGAACGCUGGCGGCGUGCUUAACACAUGCAAGUCGAACGGAAAGGCCCUGCUUUUGUGGGGUGCUCGAGUGGCGAACGGGUGAGUAACACGUGAGUAACCUGCCCUUGACUUUGGGAUAACUUCAGGAAACUGGGGCUAAUACCGGAUAGGAGCUCCUGCUGCAUGGUGGGGGUUGGAAAGUUUCGGCGGUUGGGGAUGGACUCGCGGCUUAUCAGCUUGUUGGUGGGGUAGUGGCUUACCAAGGCUUUGACGGGUAGCCGGCCUGAGAGGGUGACCGGGCACAUUGGGAAUGAGAGACGGCCCAGACUCCUACGGGAGGCAGCAGUGGGGAAUAUUGCACAAUGGGCGGAAGCCUGAUGCAGCAACGCCGGGUGCGGGAUGACGGCCUUCGGGUUGUAAACCGCUUUCGCCUGUGACGAAGCGUGAGUGACGGUAAUGGGUAAAGAAGCACCGGCUAACUACGUG